UAGUAAUCGCGGAUCAGAAUGCCGCGGUGAAUACGUUCCCGGGUCUUGUACACACCGCCCGUCACACCAUGGGAGUCGGGAAUGCCCGAAGCCGGCGGCCUAACCUUAUAGGAGGGAGCCGUCGAAGGCAGGCCCGGUGACUGGGGUGAAGUCGUAACAAGGUACC
Molecule: ribosomal RNA, 166 nt
Filed under: uncultured bacterium
Lineage: Bacteria
Description: partial 16S ribosomal RNA
Rfam family: Bacterial small subunit ribosomal RNA
Source: RNAcentral